UUACGCUGUUAUCCCUAAGGUAAUUUAGUCUUAUAAUCAUCAAUGAUGGAUCAUUUAUAUACUUAUUAAUAAUUAAAAUCUAAAAAGAGUUUAUUUAAUCUUUCUGUCACCCCAACAAAAUAUAUAAAUAUUUAACUUUCAAUUCACAAAAAUUUUAUAAAUCAUUUUAUAUAUUAAACUCUAUAGGGUCUUCUCGUCCCAUAAAAAAAUUUAAGCUUUUUUACUCAAUAAUUAACUUCAACAUAAUUAUAAUAAGAAAGCAUUUAUCUCGUCCAACCAUUCAUUCCAGCCUUCAAUUAAAAGACUAAUGAUUAUGCUACCUUUGCACGGUCAAGAUACCGCGGCCAUUUAAUAAUAUUCAUUGGGCAGGUAAUACCUUCUAAAAAAUUCAGAAAGAGAUGUUUUUGUUAAACAGGCG
Molecule: ribosomal RNA, 418 nt
Filed under: Rhyparobia maderae (Madeira cockroach)
Lineage: Eukaryota; Metazoa; Arthropoda; Insecta; Blattodea; Blaberidae
Description: partial 16S ribosomal RNA
Source: RNAcentral